UCCUUCUUUUUCUAUCGUUAAUCGGAAUUACUGGGCGUAAAGCGUGCGCAGGCGGUUCGUUAAGUCAGAUGUGAAAGCCCCGGGCUCAACCUGGGAACUGCAUUUGAAACUGGCGGGCUUGAGUGUGGCAGAGGGGGGUGGAAUUCCGCGUGUAGCAGUGAAAUGCGUAGAGAUGCGGAGGAACACCGAUGGCGAAGGCAGCCCCCUGGGCCAACACUGACGCUCAGGCACGAAAGCGUGGGGAGCAAACAGG
RNAcentral lists this ribosomal RNA (253 nucleotides) under uncultured bacterium. RNAcentral's name for it is "partial 16S ribosomal RNA". It matches the Rfam family "Bacterial small subunit ribosomal RNA", at positions 524 to 776 of the family's 1533-position model. The record is from RNAcentral.